GACGAACGCUGGCGGCGUGCUUAACACAUGCAAGUCGAACGGAAAGGCCUGCUUUCCCUUGUGGAUUGCGGGUACUCGAGUGGCGAACGGGUGAGUAACACGUGAGUGAUCUGCCCCCAACUUGGGUAUAAGCCUGGGAAACUGGGUCUAAUUCCCGAUAGGACUGCAGGGUGGUGCCUGUGGUGGAAAACGAUUUUCUAGUGGUUGGGGAUGAGCUCGCGGCCUAUCAGCUUGUUGGUGGGGUAAUGGCCUACCAAGGCGGCGACGGGUAGCCGGCCUGAGAGGGUGGACGGCCACAUUGGGACUGAGAUACGGCCCAGACUCCUACGGGAGGCAGCAGUGGGGAAUAUUGCACAAUGGGCGGAAGCCUAAUGCAGCGACGCCGCGUGGGGGAUGACGGCCUUCGGGUUGUAAACUCCUUUCGACCGCGAGGAAGCCACCUGGUUGGAAGGGUGGUGACGGUAGUGGUAGAAGAAGCACCGGCUAACUACGUG
Molecule: ribosomal RNA, 494 nt
Filed under: uncultured bacterium
Lineage: Bacteria
Description: partial 16S ribosomal RNA
Rfam family: Bacterial small subunit ribosomal RNA
Source: RNAcentral